Molecule: ribosomal RNA, 486 nt
Filed under: uncultured bacterium
Lineage: Bacteria
Description: partial 16S ribosomal RNA
Rfam family: Bacterial small subunit ribosomal RNA
Source: RNAcentral
GAUGAACGCUAGCGGCAGGCUUAAUACAUGCAAGUCGAGGGGCAGCAUGAAGUAGCUAUACUUUGAUGGCGAACGGCAAACGGGUGCGGAACACGUACACAACCUUCCUUUAAGUGGGGAAUAGCCCAGAGAAAUUUGGAUUAAUACCCCGUAACACAACGAAGUGGCAUCACUUUGUUGUUAUAGUUUCGGCGCUUAAUGAUGGGUGUGCGUAUGAUUAGAUAGUUGGCGAGGUAACGGCUCACCAAGUCUACGAUCAUUAGCUGAUGUGAGAGCAUGAUCGGCCACACGGGAACUGAGACACGCGCCCGACGCGUACGGGCGGCAGCAGUAAGGAAUAUUGGUCAAUGGAGGCAAGUCUGAACCAGCCAUGCCGCGUGAAGGAUUUAGGUCCUCUGGAUUGUAAACUUCUUUUAUAUGGGACGAAAAAAGGUCUUUCUAGACCCCUUGACGGUACCAUAUGAAUAAGCACCGGCUAACUCCGUG